UGUUGCAUCUUUGAUUUAUCUUUACAGUCAAGUUGGGGAGUGAAGGCUUCACCGAAGUACGGGAACCCGAAGGAUUGAGUGAAGUUGGUGUUGUUCGGCAGUUUUAUGAAGGAUCAACCUAAUUGAAUCUUCGUUCAGGGAUAGUGACCUGCAUCUGAGAUAACCACUGCAAGAUCAGGAAGGUUUGUGCUAUGUUCACCCUCCAGCAGCAAAAGUCAUGAAGAAGGCACUCAGCCCAAAACAUUGACUGUUUAGUCCUCUCCACAGAUGCUACCUGACCUACUGAGUUCCUCCAGCUUUGUCUUUGUCUCACUGGGCUCCACACACCAAUUCUUCCCACCAGUGCAGAGUGCCCUCCUGCUUCAAAACAUCCAUCAUUGUUCCUGUAUCUAAAAAGACCAAGGUAACAUGUCCGAACAACUGGCAUCCUGUCACACUCACCUCAAUAAUAAGCAAGUGCUUUGAGGGGCUGGUCAAGGAUUACAUCUGCAGCAUGCUACCACCCACAAUGGGCCCCCUACAAUUCACCUUCAGACGCAACCGAUCAACAGAUGACACAACAGCCACAGCUCCACACACCGGCCUUACGCAUCUGUGGAACAGUGAUGCUUAUGUGAGAAUGCCGUUCAGCACUCAACACCAUAAUUCCAUCCAGGCUUAACAAGAAGCUCAGUGACCUCGGCCUUCACCCUGCCUUGUGUAGCUGGAUCCUGGACUUCCUGUCAGAUCACCAGCUGGUGGUAAGAGUGGGUUCCCUCACCUCUGCUCCUCAACACAGGUGCCCCUCAAGGCUGUGUGCUGAGCCUACUCCUUUACUUUCUGUAUACUCAUAUCUGUGUCACCACCCACAGCUCCAAUCUCCUAAUUAAAAUUGCUGACGACACUACACUGAUGGCCUAAUCUCAAAUAAUAACAAUGAGGCAGCCCUACAGAGAAGAAGUCAUCACCCUGACACAGUGGUGUCAAGAAAACAACCUCUCCCUCAAUGUCAUAAAAACAAAGGAGCUGGUUAUGGACUAUAGGAGGAAUAGCCUUACUAUUCUAAAGGCACCAUCUUUUAUCCUCGAUCUCCCUCAGCAUUUUCAGCCAUAUAAAGUGAUUAACUGAGGUCUAUAGAAUUCACGAAGGAAUGGGAUGAUCAGCCCCAUAUCAUCUUCCAUAUCAACUGUUCUGGUUUUCAAUGAUGGCUCAGGUUCUUUAACCCAUAAGGCAGUGCAGGAUAAUGAAGUCCAAGGUUAUCUCUGGAACAUUCUACACACCAUAGGAGACCUGUGUUAUGAAUGUACCACAGCUCUGAGAGGCCGAAGGGUGCGGCAUAGCCCCCUCCUUUGUGAGAAUCGCAAGAGCGUUAUUGGAUUGGGUCAGAGGACCCAGGAAAUGAGAGAGAGACAUGGCCAUUGUCUCCUGGAGACAACGUUUGUGGAUUGGGGACUAGGCUACGUGCAAGCCCUCGGGCAAAGUGGGCUGGUUGAGAGAGAGAUUGCAUCAUCCCAACCUGGUUGACAUCUACUACCCUGCGAGUUAAGAUAAAAGGGAGGGGGGGGCUGUAGGGACAGCCCCUCAGACGCACCAGAAGAAACGCUAGCGAUCCCUUAAUAGCGGAAAGCCAUUUGAAGGAAGCCGCGUGUGUUCGGUUCCCUCGCCUGGGGGCUGGUGGCUGGUACCACGGAAAACAACUUAGAACUAACAAUGGGGAACCAACUCCCCCGACUCAACGGAUUGGCCUCAUAAAGACUCGGGCAAGUUUCAAACCGUCUCUCUCUUAAACCCAAAGAGCUGCAGCUUGAAAGGACAGUGACUUUUAUCUUUCCAUCGGACAAUACAAUAUCCCCUAGACAAACGAUAGAGCUAUUGCUUAAUUGAUGAUUAUUAUUAUACCCGCAUUUUUAGAUUGAGUAUUGACGACGUAUAUUAUCUGAAUGUCUGUAUUAAUCUUAUUUUUGUGCCUCUUUAUAAAUAAAGACUUUUUAAAAUAGUACCAUCAGACUUCAACGGACCUCUCUAUCUUUGCUGGUAAGUGAUCCAGUUACGGGAAUUUUGUAACACCUGUCAUUGUGCAUAAUUAGGCACUUGGGAAAGGCCAAUAAGAAGUUAGCUUUAGACAGAGCAGCCGUUGUUGGUGUGGCUCAGUGUUUGAGUGGGGAGUUGAGGCUUUGGCAAGAAGGGGCAAAGGCUGUAGAUCGAUUUUGUUCAUUUAAUUUUCUACCUUUCUCAUUGUACCAUUAGAGCAGCGGGGAUUCCAGAUAGGGCAGUGGAAUGCUCCUCUUGCAGGAAAUGGGAAGGCAGGGAAACUUCCAGUGUCUCUGAAGAUUGCAUCCAGCUGCAACUUCCUACAAACCGCGUUAAGAUUUGGAGCUGGAGCAACUCCAGAUCAUUCAGGAGGCUAAGGAGUUGAUCGACAGGUACUUACACCCAAAAUGAAGGACACAGGUAAAUGGUGACUGUCAGAAGGGGCAAAGGGGAUGAGCAGCCAGUUCAGAGUACCCCUAUGGUAGUCCCCUCAGUAUACCACUUUGGAUACUUGUG
Molecule: long non-coding RNA, 2526 nt
Organism: Hypanus sabinus (Atlantic stingray)
Lineage: Eukaryota; Metazoa; Chordata; Chondrichthyes; Myliobatiformes; Dasyatidae
Exons: 3
Source: RefSeq, a predicted model, not a curated record